Molecule: transfer RNA, 48 nt
Filed under: Aptychella planula
Lineage: Eukaryota; Viridiplantae; Streptophyta; Bryopsida; Hypnales; Pylaisiadelphaceae
Description: partial trnF
Source: RNAcentral
AAAGGCCGGAAUAGCUCAGCCGGUAGAGCAGAGGACNGAAAUCCUCGU